Molecule: non-coding RNA, 227 nt
Filed under: Paraburkholderia ginsengiterrae
Lineage: Bacteria; Pseudomonadati; Pseudomonadota; Betaproteobacteria; Burkholderiales; Burkholderiaceae
Description: Burkholderia sRNA Bp1_Cand871_SIPHT
Rfam family: Burkholderia sRNA Bp1_Cand871_SIPHT
Source: Rfam by way of RNAcentral
UCGCCCACAAUGCCCUCAACGGUUUCAACACGGAUGUGGCUGGGUGCGUGGUGUGAGCGGAUACAACGCACUUGCCGGUCGGCGCUUGCCGAAGCCCUGUGAAGGGGGCAUCCCUGCUGGGGCCGUAAUCGACUCAGGGUGGUCGUCACAGUCGGUUCCUACUUUGGUCUCCUCGCGCUAACCCCGUAGCGUGUGGUUUUUAGCGGGCUCCAGGCCCGCUUUUUUUU